GACGUAGGGCGCGAGCGUUGUCCGGAUUUAUUGGGCGUAAAGAGCUCGUAGGCGGCUUGUCGCGUCGUCCGUGAAAACCCACAGCUCAACUGUGGGCUUGCGGUCGAUACGGGCAGACUAGAGUUCGGUAGGGGAGUCUGGAAUUCCUGGUGUAGCGGUGAAAUGCGCAGAUAUCAGGAGGAACACCGGUGGCGAAGGCGGCUCUCUGGGACGGUACUGACGCUGAGACGCGAAAGCGUGGGGAGCGAACAGG
RNAcentral lists this ribosomal RNA (253 nucleotides) under uncultured bacterium. RNAcentral's name for it is "partial 16S ribosomal RNA". It matches the Rfam family "Bacterial small subunit ribosomal RNA", at positions 524 to 776 of the family's 1533-position model. The record is from RNAcentral.